UCGGGAAUAUUGCACAAUGGAGGAAACUCUGAUGCAGUGACGCCGCGUGCAGGAAGAAGGUUUUCGGAUUGUAAACUGCUUUAGACAGGGAAGAAGAAAGACAGUACCUGUAGAAUAAGCUCCGGCUAACUACGUGCC
Molecule: ribosomal RNA, 138 nt
Filed under: uncultured bacterium
Lineage: Bacteria
Description: partial 16S ribosomal RNA
Rfam family: Bacterial small subunit ribosomal RNA
Source: RNAcentral